Molecule: ribosomal RNA, 465 nt
Filed under: uncultured bacterium
Lineage: Bacteria
Description: partial 16S ribosomal RNA
Rfam family: Bacterial small subunit ribosomal RNA
Source: RNAcentral
CCUACGUGAGGCAGCAGUAGGGAAUCUUCCACAAUGGGCGAAAGCCUGAUGGAGCAACGCCGCGUGGGUGAAGAAGGUCUUCGGAUCGUAAAACCCUGUUGUUAGAGAAGACAGUGCGUGAGAGUAACUGUUCACGUUUCGACGGUAUCUAACCAGAAAGCCACGGCUAACUACGUGCCAGCAGCCGCGGUAAUACGUAGGUGGCAAGCGUUAUCCGGAUUUAUUGGGCGUAAAGGGAACGCAGGCGGUCUUUUAAGUCUGAUGUGAAAGCCUUCGGCUUAACCGGAGUAGUGCAUUGGAAACUGGGAGACUUGAGUGCAGAAGAGGAGAGUGGAACUCCAUGUGUAGCGGUGAAAUGCGUAGAUAUAUGGAAGAACACCAGUGGCGAAAGCGGCUCUCUGGUCUGUAACUGACGCUGAGGUUCGAAAGCGUGGGUAGCAAACAGGAUUAGAUACCCUUGUAGUC